Non-coding RNA from Bombyx mori (domestic silkworm), 96 nucleotides. NCBI's taxonomy places the organism in Eukaryota, Metazoa, Arthropoda, Insecta, Lepidoptera, Bombycidae. The record is from RefSeq and is marked provisional.
AUCCGUUGUGCUAUAUCGAUAACUUUGGUUUUCUGUUGGAUCACCUCGUUCUGGAUUCGAUCCUUCAGAGAAAAAGAGAUUUUUAUUACACGAUGU